Molecule: long non-coding RNA, 954 nt
Organism: Bos taurus (domestic cattle)
Lineage: Eukaryota; Metazoa; Chordata; Mammalia; Artiodactyla; Bovidae
Source: Ensembl
AGGGCCCAGGUGAAAAGGUGAGGGGAUAUCAGGAGGUAAAAGUAUCCUGCAGUCAGCUUUGUCCUGUGCCCUCUUGGAUUCACUGACUGUUCUACAAGGUGACUCAGAGCAGAGAAAGAUGGGCUGGUUGUAGGCCCUAUGGAGCUUUCCGGUGGCUCGGUGAUGAGUGGCGGCUGAUGAGCGAAUCCGUCCACCUCCAGAUCUCUGAAGUGGCUCCUGGGCCUCUCCGAGCGCUGAAUAAAGAGACUUCUAGGUGGUCACCAACUCUUCCUCCAGCUGCGUCCCCUGCCUCACCCCGUACCUUUCGCGCCUGUUGGUUUUACCAAUGGGAAGACAUAUUUCGGGGCGGGGCGGUGGAGGCAAAAAGAAAGAGAAAGCCUGUUUCCGCCCGGUAUCGAACCGGGGACCUUUCGCAUGUGAGGCGAACGUGAUAACCACUACACUACGGAAACUGGAUAAACUCUCCUCUUGAACAAUGUAUCCAUUAAAUUCGAGGUCCCGCCACCAGUAACCACAGCACCAACUCUUAACACCAGAGGAGCCUUGAAGCCCCAAACUCUCUCAGGCACGGAGACGGCGGCUCUGGAGGGCCCUGCUUUAGGGUUCCCCCUCUCCCCUGAAGUGAGGACCCUCGGACCCCCACAGGUUGCCUUUGGGACCCCGCACCCAACGAAGAAUCCUUAGACCCUCAGCUGCCCACCCUGAGUUCAGGGGUCGCCCGCGCCACCUCCCCAGCUCCCGGAAGCCGCAGGAGGCGGGGACGGUGGGUGCGCCCGAGGCCCAGGUGACCCCGAAACCCAGCGGUGUGGAAGCCGCCCCUCCAUGGCUGCGGACCCGCGCCUCGGUGGUCCUUCUCUCGGCGCCGGCGAUCAGCGCUCUGGGCUCUCAGGAAUGACCGACGCUUCCAAUCCAACCGGGACGCGCCCUCCCCGCUGUUCCUUUGCACCUGACUCC